CGCUGGGUGGCCGUGACGGCAGCAGCAGCAGAAACAGAUGUUGGCAGCCGGGCUGCCAGGAGCAGUUCCGCUGGAUUUUGCCAUUCGAGACUUCCUUCGGGGCACCCCAGCAAACUAAGAUGGAGUAUGAGUGGAAACCUGACAAGCACAGGCUUCAGCAAAUCCUGCAGCUGUUAAAGGAGUCGCAGUCCCCAGACACCACCAUCCAGAGAACCGUGCAACAAAAACUGGAACAACUUAAUAAAUAUUCAGACUUUAACAACUACUUGAUUUUUGUUCUUACAAAAUUAAAAUCUGAAGAUGAGCCCACAAGAUCUCAUCUUGAAGAAUAAUGUGAAAGUACACUUUAAGAACUUCCCAUAUGGUAUAACAGACUUUUAUUAAAAGUGAAUGUUUAAAUAAUAUUGGUGACUCCUCUCCUCUGAUUAGAGCCACCAUUAGUAUUGUGAUCACAACUCUAGCCUCCAAGGGAGAAUUACAGAAUUGGCCUGACCUCUUACCAAAACUCUGUAGCCUGUAUGCUGAAGAUUACAACACCCAUGAGGGAGCAUUUGGCACCCUUCAGAAGAUUUGUGAAGAUUCUGCUGAGAUUUUAGGUAGUUAUGAUUUAGAUCAUCCUUUCAACAUCAUGAUUCCCAAAUUUUUAUAGUUCUUAAAGCACAGUAGUCCAGAAAUAAGGUCUCGCGCUGUUGCACGUGUCAAUCAGUUUAUCAUCAGUAGGACCCAAGCUCUAAUGUUGCACAUUGAUUCUUUUAUUGAGAAUCUCUUUGCAUUGGCUAGUGAUGAAGAACCAGAGGCACGGAAACAUGUGUGCCAAGUACUUGUGAUUAUUUGAAGUUCGAAUGGAUCGCCUGUUGCCUCACAUGUAUAAUAUAGUUGAGUAUGUUCUAUGUAAGACUCAAGAUAUAUGGCCAUGUUUUCACUGAUCAAGGACAAUGGCUCAGCAAUAUGAUGAAGAUGGAAUUGAAGAGGAAGAUGAUGAUGAUGAAAUUGCUGAUGAUGAUACAAUUUCUGACUGGAAUCUAAGAAAAUGUUCUGCUGCUGCCCUAGGUGUUCUUGCAAAUGUGUAUCAUGAUGAACUGCUGCCACAUAUUCCACCCCUUUUGAAAGAAUUACUUUUUCGUCAUGAAUGGGUUGUUAAAGAAUCAGGCAUCUUGGUUUUAGGAGCAAUUGCUGAAGGUUGCAUGCAGGGCAUUAUUCCAUACUUGCCCGAGCUUGUUCCUCACUUUAUUCAAUGCCUCACUGAUAAAAUGACUCUUGUACAUUCCAUAACAUGCUGGACUCUUAGCCACUAUGCAUACUGGGUAGUCAGCCAGCCACCAGACAUGUACCUGAAGCCAUUAAUGACAACUGCUAAAGCGCAUCCUGGAUAGCAACAAGAGAGUACAAGAAGCUGCCGACAGUGCCUUUGCUACCCUGGAAGAGGAGGCUUGUACAGAACUUGUUCCUCACUUUGCUUAUAUACUUGAUACCCUGGUCUUUGCAUUUAGUAAAUACCAGCAUAAGAACCUACUCAUGCUUUACAAUGCCUUAGGAACAUUAGCUGAUUCAGUAGGACAUCAUUCAAACAAACUAGAAUAUAUUCAGAUGCUAAUGCCUCCACUGACCCAGAAAUGGAACAUGUUAAAUGAUGAAGAUAAGGAUCUCUUUCCUUUACCUGAGUGCCUAUCUUCAGUUGCCACAGCACUGCAGUCUGGCUUUCUUCCGUACUGUGAACCUGUGUAAGAGACAAUGAGGAAGACUCUUGCACAAGCCGUGCUAAACAAUGCGCAUCCAGAUCAAUAUGAAGCUCCAGAUAAAGAUUUUAUGAUAGUGGCUCUUGAUCUACUGAGUGGCCUGGCUGAAGGACUUGGAGGCAACAUUGAACAGCUGGUAACCUGAAGUAACAUCCUAACACGAAUGUAUCAGUGAAGGCAGGAUAAAAUGCUAGAAGUUCGACAGAGUUCUUUUGACCCUUUAGGUGACCUCACAAAAGCUUACUUUUAGCAUGUUCAGCCUUGUAUAGCUGAUUUCAUGCCAAUAUUGGGAACCAACCCAAAUCCAGAAUUCUUUUCAGUCUGCAGCAAUGCCACAUGGGCAGUUGGAGAAAUCUCCAUUCAAAUGGGUAUAGAGAUGCGGCCUUAUAUUCCUAUGGUGUUGCACCAGCUUGUAGAAAUCAUUAACAGACCCAACACACCAAAGACAUUGUUAGAGAAUACAGCAAUAACGAUUGGCCGUCUUGGUUACGUGUGUCUUCAAGAGGUGGCCCCGAUGCUACAGCAGUAUGAAGACCCUGGUGCACCUCUCUGAGAAACAUAAGAGACAAUGAGGAAAAGGAUUCAGCAUUCCGUGGAAUUUGUACCAUGAUCAUUGUGAAUCCCAGUGGUGUAAUCCAAGAUUUUAUGUAUUUUUUUGUGUGAUGCUGUUACAUCAUGGAUUAACCCAAAAGAUGAUCUCAGAGACAUGUUCUGUGAGAUCCUUCAUGGAUUUAAAAAUCAAGUUGGCAAUAAAAUUGGAGGCAUUUCUCUAACCAGUUUCCUCUUCUCUUAAAAAGAGCAUCUUGCAGCUGUUUAUGGUGUUUAA
This is an RNA transcript of Mandrillus leucophaeus (drill), 2562 nucleotides long. It is a transcript of the gene named transportin-1 pseudogene, with no coding region annotated. The transcript has a single exon. NCBI's taxonomy places the organism in Eukaryota, Metazoa, Chordata, Mammalia, Primates, Cercopithecidae. The record is from RefSeq and is a predicted model, not a curated record.